Molecule: long non-coding RNA, 125 nt
Organism: Ostrinia furnacalis (Asian corn borer)
Lineage: Eukaryota; Metazoa; Arthropoda; Insecta; Lepidoptera; Crambidae
Exons: 2
Source: RefSeq, a predicted model, not a curated record
GCCUCAACACCCAGUUCCGGCUUGACGUUACAUUACGGGACACCCUGUAUAUUAAGUAAUUGAUUGACAAGUACACAUUUGACAAGGUGGUGAGAAACAUGUAGAUCUGGCCUGCUUACAGUGGA